GCAUGCAAGUCGAACGAAUCCCAUCUGGGUAACUGGAUGGGGGAAGUGGCGAAAGGGGCAGUAAUGCGUGGGUAACCUACCCUGGGGACGGGGAUAGCCUUCCUAACGGAAGGGUAAUACCUGGCGAUUCGGCGAGAGGACAUCCUCAUGCCGGGAAAUGAGUUUCGCCUCGGGAGGGGCUCACGUGAUAUUAGCUAGUUGGUGAGGUAACGGCUCACCAAGGCGAAGAUGUCUAGCGGGUGUGAGAGCACGACCCGCGCCACUGGCACUGAGACACUGGCCAGACACCUACGGGUGGCUGCAGUCGAGGAUCUUUGGCAAUGGGCGCAAGCCUGACCAAGCGACGCCGCGUGUGCGAUGAAGGCCUUCGGGUUGUAAAGCACUGUCGAGGGGGAGGAAGCCGCAAGGUUGACCUAUCCCUGGAGGAAGCACGGACUAAGUUCGUGCCAGCAGCCGCGGUAAGACGAACCGUGCAAACGUUGUUCGGAAUCACUGGGCUUAAAGGGCGCGUAGGCGGGUUUCCAAGUCUGUGGUGAAAUCCUCCAGCUUAACUGGAGAAGUGCCGUGGAUACUGGAAGUCUCC
RNAcentral lists this ribosomal RNA (583 nucleotides) under metal-contaminated soil clone K20-45. RNAcentral's name for it is "bacterial SSU rRNA". It matches the Rfam family "Bacterial small subunit ribosomal RNA", at positions 53 to 644 of the family's 1533-position model. The record is from RNAcentral. Lineage: Bacteria; Pseudomonadati; Planctomycetota; Planctomycetia; Planctomycetales.